RNAcentral lists this long non-coding RNA (199 nucleotides) under Elaeis guineensis (African oil palm). RNAcentral's name for it is "long non-coding RNA (EGUI_LNC067553)". Lineage: Eukaryota; Viridiplantae; Streptophyta; Magnoliopsida; Arecales; Arecaceae. The record is from RNAcentral.
UUGGACCAUGGAUCUGAGUGGCAAGGGUUGCCAUUAAUCCAUUGUUGGCUCUAGAGACCAAAUGAUCCCCAAAGCUAAACCUAUAUAUUGGACCAAAUAGUAGACCUUUGGCACUGCCGAGGAAAGUUUCCCAAAAAUUUUCUUUAAAGAGGUUAAAUAUGGUUGAAGGUUGCCAUAAUACUAUCCUAUUUUGAUCCAU